GAUAAACGCUGGCGGCGUGCCUAAUACAUGCAAGUCGAGCGAACAGACGAGGAGCUUGCUCCUCUGACGUUAGCGGCGGACGGGUGAGUAACACGUGGAUAACCUACCUAUAAGACUGGGAUAACUUCGGGAAACCGGAGCUAAUACCGGAUAAUAUAUUGAACCGCAUGGAUCAAUAGUGAAAGACGGUUUUGCUGUCACUUAUAGAUGGAUCCGCGCCGCAUUAGCUAGUUGGUAAGGUAACGGCUUACCAAGGCAACGAUGCGUAGCCGACCUGAGAGGGUGAUCGGCCACACUGGAACUGAGACACGGUCCAGACUCCUACGGGAGGCAGCAGUAGGGAAUCUUCCGCAAUGGGCGAAAGCCUGACGGAGCAACGCCGCGUGAGUGAUGAAGGUCUUCGGAUCGUAAAACUCUGUUAUUAGGGAAGAACAAAUGUGUAAGUAACUAUGCACGUCUUGACGGUACCUAAUCAGAAAGCCACGGCUAACUACGUG
This 497-nucleotide ribosomal RNA is filed under the name uncultured bacterium. Its description in RNAcentral is "partial 16S ribosomal RNA". It matches the Rfam family "Bacterial small subunit ribosomal RNA", at positions 28 to 507 of the family's 1533-position model. The record is from RNAcentral.